CCGGACCCGAUCGCUAUAGGGGUAGGGCUAAGCCAUGGGGAGUCGUACGCUCUCGGGAAGAGGGCGUGGCGGACGGCUGAGUAACACGUGGCUAACCUGCCCUUGGGAUCUGGAUAACCCCGGGAAACUGGGGCUAAUCCGGAGCGGGUAAGGGAAUCUGGAACGAUCCCUUACCUAAAUGCCUCUCGGCUGAUCCCGUCGAGAGGUGCCCAAGGAUGGGGCUGCGGCCCAUCAGGCUGUUGGGGGAGUAAAGGUCCCCCAAACCGAUAACGGGUAGGGGCCGUGGGAGCGGGAGCCCCCAGUUGGGCACUGAGACAAGGGCCCAGGCCCUACGGGGCGCACCAGGCGCGGAACGUCCCCAAUGCGGGAAACCGUGAGGGCGUUACCCCUAGUGCCCUCGCAAGAGGGCUUUUCUCCACUCCAGAAAGGUGGAGGAAUAAGCGGGGGGCAAGACUGGUGUCAGCCGCCGCGGUAAUACCAGCCCCGCGAGUGAUCGGGACGUUUAUUGGGCUUAAAGCGCCCGUAGCCGGCCUGUAAAGUCACCGUUUAAAGACCCGGGCUCAACUCGGGGAACGGCGGUGAUACUUACAGGCUAGGGGGCGGGAGAGGUCGGAGGUACUCCCGGAGUAGGGGCGAAAUCCUCAGAUCCCGGGAGGACCACCAGUGGCGAAAGCGUCCGGCUAGAACGCGCCCGACGGUGAGGGGCGAAAGCCGGGGUAGCAAAAAGGAUUAGAUACCCUUGUAGUCCCGGCUGUAAACGAUGCAGGCUAGGUGUCGCGUAGGCUUUGUGCCUACGCGGUGCCGCAGGAAAACUGGUAAGCCCGCCGCCUGGGGAGUACGGCCGCAAGGCUGAAACUUAAAGGAAU
RNAcentral lists this ribosomal RNA (866 nucleotides) under Metallosphaera javensis (ex Hofmann et al. 2022). Its description in RNAcentral is "bacterial SSU rRNA". It matches the Rfam family "Archaeal small subunit ribosomal RNA", at positions 17 to 865 of the family's 1478-position model. Lineage: Archaea; Thermoproteati; Thermoproteota; Thermoprotei; Sulfolobales; Sulfolobaceae. The record is from RNAcentral.